RNAcentral lists this ribosomal RNA (277 nucleotides) under uncultured soil bacterium. Its description in RNAcentral is "partial 16S ribosomal RNA". It matches the Rfam family "Bacterial small subunit ribosomal RNA", at positions 26 to 285 of the family's 1533-position model. The record is from RNAcentral.
AGAAUCAACGCUGGCGGCGUGCCUCAGACAUGCAAGUCGAACGCGAAAGGCCCCUUCGGGGGCCGAGUAGAGUGGCGCACGGGUGAGUAACACGUGGGUAAUUUGCCUUCGGGUGGGGAAUAACAGCCGGAAACGGCUGCUAAUACCGCAUAAUGCAGCGGCAUCUAUGAUGACAGUUGUUAAAGCGGGGGAUUCGCAAGAACCUCGCGCCUGAAGAGAAGCCCGCGGCGGAUUAGCUAGUUGGUAGGGUAAUGGCCUACCAAGGCGACGAUCCGUA